Molecule: ribosomal RNA, 445 nt
Filed under: uncultured bacterium
Lineage: Bacteria
Description: bacterial SSU rRNA
Rfam family: Bacterial small subunit ribosomal RNA
Source: RNAcentral
UGCAAGUCGAGGGGUAACGGAAGUAGCUUGCUACUAGACGACGACCGGCGCACGGGUGAGUAACGCGUAUGUAAUCUGCCUUGUACAGAGGGAUAGCCCAGAGAAAUUUGGAUUAAUACCUCAUAGUAUUACUGAAUCGCAUGAUUCGGUAAUUAAAGCUCCGGCGGUACAAGAUGAACAUGCGUGACAUUAGCUAGUUGGUAAGGUAACGGCUUACCAAGGCAACGAUGUCUAGGGGUUCUGAGAGGAUGAUCCCCCACACUGGUACUGAGACACGGACCAGACUCCUACGGGAGGCAGCAGUGAGGAAUAUUGGUCAAUGGACGCAAGUCUGAACCAGCCAUCCCGCGUGAAGGAUGACUGCCCUAUGGGUUGUAAACUUCUUUUAUAUGCAAAUAAACCUACUUUCGUGAAAGUAGCUGAAGGUAGCAUAUGAAUAAACACC